Long non-coding RNA from Dromaius novaehollandiae (emu), 1207 nucleotides. RefSeq lists it as uncharacterized. The transcript is spliced from 2 exons. Lineage: Eukaryota; Metazoa; Chordata; Aves; Casuariiformes; Dromaiidae. The record is from RefSeq and is a predicted model, not a curated record.
UCUGCCUUAGCUUUGCUUUGGCUGUUUCUCUUUUGUUUUGUUAUCGUACACGCAGCUACGGAAAGGAAUAGAUGUCAUACUUACUUUUUUAGAUUAAUUGCCACGGCUGAAGUUGAAGAGACCAAGAAACGUAAGCCGCGAAGGGGCACAUCUUGAAGAGAGGGGGCUAGACCUAGCGAUGCAGUUGUUCGUUUUGGUCGUCGCCUGUGAGGCCAGCAUGCAAGAGUAAGAGGAAGCUAGGAGCAGUCUCAAAAAGAGGUGGAACCAAGGACAGCAAAUGCUGACGAGGAGAAGAGACGGACGAGCGUUUGCUUGCGGUUAAUACCGAAGGGACGGGAUGAAACAAGGAAGCCAGAAUGCAGCGGCCCCUCGAUAUCACCAGGAACUGCUACAGGAGGAGGCGUUCUGGCACGGGUAACUAGGGUAAGUAUGGCUAAUGACCGUUAGCAGUUAUUUCGGCCUUCCCGAGGCAGCGAUGAGGACUAAGUAACCUGAGGGGCUCUGGCCUGGGUUGGGGCAGAAGUGCAGGCAGGCGGGAUCAGGCAUUUUCCUCUCAGCUCUGCGAGCUGAAUCCUAGCCCUGAAGGAAAAAGCACUGGGGGGAGGCUACUCGGACACCUGCCAUGUCGAGGGCAGGGGCAGGAGCUGACCCUUCCCCGACGGACAGACGUACGGACAGACGCUGGUGCGGCGGUGACUCUUUGGAUAUCGUAGGUAAGGGGAGGCACGCUGGUGCCGAGCUCCAGGGCGGUUUGCCUGAACACGAUGCCUGAGGCAGGAGGUUAUGCAUUGUGUCCGGGGCUGGGAGCUGGUCCCCGAGUCCCAUGUACUUGGGAGUGCCUGCGCUUGCCAGGGAGCCCGGUGCUGUUCCCAGAGCUGCGGGGAAUUUCCCUUGCGUUGCCUGGACCCUCGGGGCUCUUGGGGGUGUUUCCCCUCAUCGCGAGGGCUGCCAGAGCCCCUCCAGGGCUGCGUGAGGUCCCCGAACCGCUCCCGGAUUUGCUUUUGGCACUCCGCAGUGUCGCUCGUGUGCCUGGGGCAGCCUGCAGGCGCCAUCCUGUCAGCCGCGUUGAGCCCUGCGGCGUGCCUGGUGACCCCUCUGGUGUGCGCCAAGGCCCUUCCUCUGUAUUUUGGUCUGCCCCAGAGCCCUGCACUUGCCCUCUGAUGCCCUCAGGACCCCUCAGUUCACAUUCUGGGUUGCCCCCGAGCCC